UACCUCAUUUAAAGGCUGGCUGCCACUCUGGGAGGAUCUCUAGUUGGAGAUCUGUCCUUUGUGGGGUUUUCCUGUGAGCCUAGAUCUUCAGAGGCAGAUGCUGUCACUGGGGACUUACAGGAUUCUACUUGGUUCAGGCCAGUCCAGCUGUGAUCCACCUCUAAGCUCAGGAGGACUGAGAGCAGGCUGAACACAGGUCUCUUCUCUGGGAUGGUGUGCACCGCUGAAUGAUGAAUGUCAGAAGUGAAGGAAAAUACCAUUACAGCAGCCUCCACUUGCUCUUACAGAAAGCUUACCAUGCAACAGAAAUGUGUCGAAUGUCCAGCAAGGGAUUUCUACGGGGUGGUCACAGCUUCACUGCAGAGUGUGGUAUAGGCGUGACAGAUAUGCAUUAAGCAUGGCACUUGAGUAAUGCAGAAAAAUUGCUAUAAUCAGCAAUCCAACAAAAAAAGGCAUUGCAUAGGCUCUCUGCCAGGAGAACAAAGGUGGUGGCUGUUGUGAUGGAUCAACCCUCUCCUCAGCAUCCACAUCUUGCUUGUUGGCUCUUCAGCACAAGAUGACCAAAGACUGCUAACAUGGAGACACCAGGAUCUUGUCACUGCAAAGGAAGCAGAUGUGAAGAUGCAGCACCCUGAUACUUUUGACCUACAACGUGUGACUGCUCUUGAGGAAACUGGUGGGAGAGCUGAAAAGAGUACAGAAGUGUGCCCCUUUUCAUUAGGAAUCAAACCUCUCAUCUAUUGCCCGGCUCCAGAUAGUGAAAGAAAAACUCUUAAUAGGUUAGCAGCAGCUCAGCUGCAAUCAACUGCUAAAGCAAAAGUGUGCAGUGGCUUGAGAGUUACAAGAGACCUAUUUGGAGUUAUUCCAUAGUGGAUUAAGAAGACAGGCUUACUGCAGUGCCUUCUAUGACAAUUAAAUGUGAAUUAUGUACUUUUUGAGCUUAUGAAAAGAUGAUUUUCCAUGGUUGUUAGGCAAACUUCUGUAGCAAGGUUUCAAUGAUGACUUUUCUAAGACUAGAUCACAAAAAUAAAUCAGCAUUUUCUUAUCAGGGACCUGUGAAAGACCUUGGGGAUACAAACUGGACCUGUACAAUCUGCGCUCAUUGAUCCAGUUGUGGUUCUGUUAUAUACAGAUCUUAUGUAUCUGAGAAAAAUAUGCAGACAAAACCUUAUGUUUACGUGACUCUGUGGCAUGUUACAAAGUGAAGGGGCAUGUCCAGUGUCAUGGAAACUUUAUUAUUGCUCCCAGUUGCUGAAAUUCUCUUUAUUGGCAGCAACCUUGAUAUUAUUUCUUUUCACAAAAAGAUCGUAAUUGUGUUUAUUUAUUGUUUCUAUCAGGCAAUUCAGAGAAUACAGAACAGUUUUCCAUGGUGAAGAGUGCAGUAAAUGUUUUUCCUCCCAAGUGUUUGCAGCAGCACUGGGAUCAGAACAAAACCUGCUUUUGCAUGUAACUACCAACAAAACAUCCACCAUCUCAAAUCCAGAGGGACCUCACACAGAUGCUUAAAACACCUCUUUGGGAGCUGCCCAUGCUCCACACACAAAUGGUUACAAGCCUGUGUCCUAAAACAACGGAUCUGUGAUCUGGUGUGGCUGUGAGGAAAGGUUUACGCUCCUUUUACUUCCAAGCAGCUCAUGGCCUCCUUUCCCAGGCAAAUAUUCUCUUGGAUCUGAAGGGGCACAAGGCACAGCAGUCCACUCCAGCGUGCUCCCUGUGUGAGGCCAGCAGGCAGCACUACCUCUGAGGUGCAGCUGCCCACCCGUGGCCUAGCAGGGUUUGCAGAGCCCACACGAGCCCACUGUGGGGCAUGCCAUUUUGCCGAGCCCCCAUGCAGUUCCUGUUCAAGAGCUUUUGAUUUGGUUUGGGGGGAUGGCGGGGGAAGGGAAGUGCCUUUUUUUUUUUCUUUUUUUUUUCUUCAGCUGGGGAUUUCAAAUGUGUCAUUUUCUUCUGUUAUCUUAAGUCUCCAA
Long non-coding RNA from Lagopus leucura (white-tailed ptarmigan), 1967 nucleotides. RefSeq lists it as uncharacterized. The transcript is spliced from 3 exons. NCBI's taxonomy places the organism in Eukaryota, Metazoa, Chordata, Aves, Galliformes, Phasianidae. The record is from RefSeq and is a predicted model, not a curated record.